This 27-nucleotide non-coding RNA is filed under the name Homo sapiens (human). Lineage: Eukaryota; Metazoa; Chordata; Mammalia; Primates; Hominidae. The record is from RNAcentral.
UAUCCUGACUGAUACGUAGAGCAUGGU